UAGGGAAUCUUCCACAAUGGGCGAAANCCUGAUGGAGCAACGCCGCGUGUGUGAUGAAGGGUUUCGGCUCGUAAAACACUGUUGUAAGAGAAGAAUGACAUUGAGAGUAACUGUUCAAUGUGUGACGGUAUCUUACCAGAAAGGAACGGCUAAAUACGUGCCAG
RNAcentral lists this ribosomal RNA (164 nucleotides) under uncultured bacterium. RNAcentral's name for it is "partial 16S ribosomal RNA". It matches the Rfam family "Bacterial small subunit ribosomal RNA", at positions 355 to 511 of the family's 1533-position model. The record is from RNAcentral.